UCAGGCAUCACCGUAUCAAGAAGCCAGGCCCCUGACAUGAAUCCAGCAGAAGGCAAAGUUGCAAACAGCCCAUUUGAGGAGGGAAGAAGAAUCCAGGCCAAAGCUUAAAGCAUUCCCCAUUAAAUGUUGCUUCCGGCAGAGGCCAGUGGGGGAAGGAAGGCCAGAGAGAGAAAAAGGGCUGAGAAAGACAGCAAGGUCAACAGUAUCAGACGCCACUGAGUGAAUCAGAAGAGGCCAGAGAAACAGCUACACAUUUGACAACACAAAGGCCACUUAGAACCUUGACAAGGCUUUUGUGACAUGGUAGAGAGAGAUCAGAUCGGAUGGAGUUGAAGUGGAAGCAGGCAUUAUGGGCAAACUAUAUUGAAUCUUGUUCUGAAUAGGUGGAUGUCAAAGACACAGUGUCUGUAACUGGAUGUUCUCAAGAGAAAUAGAACCAGUUACAGAAAAGGGAGAGCAAAGAGGUGGAAAAUGUAUUGUAAGAAUUAAUUCAUGUGAUUGUGGAAAAUGAAGUGUGCCACAAUUUUCUAAAGCUAGAAAACCAGGUAAUUGGGUGGUGUCAUUAAGUCUGGAGAGCUAACAAUCAAAGGACUUGAAGAAUCCAAAGACCUCUGGUGGAAGUCCUAGAGUUUGAAGGCUGGAGAAUCAUUUCUCUGUUGGCCAAGGUCAUACAGCUCAAAGAGAAAGGAUCGACUCUUGGAGCUCAGCCUGGUGCUUGGCUGUUGAUAUCUGCAUGUGCUUCCA
Molecule: non-coding RNA, 744 nt
Organism: Peromyscus maniculatus bairdii (prairie deer mouse)
Lineage: Eukaryota; Metazoa; Chordata; Mammalia; Rodentia; Cricetidae
Source: RefSeq, a predicted model, not a curated record